UACGUAGGUGGCGAGCGUUGUCCGGAUUUACUGGGCGUAAAGAGCGCGCAGGCGGCUGGUCAAGUCCGAUGUGAAAGCUCCCGGCUUAACUGGGAAAUUGCAUCGGAAACUGAUCGGCUGGAAGGUGGGAGAGGGUAGCGGAAUUCCCGGUGUAGUGGUGAAAUGCGUAGAUAUCGGGAGGAACACCAGUGGCGAAGGCGACUACCUGGCCUGUUCUUGACGCUGAGGCGCGAAAGCUGGGGGAGCAAACGGG
Molecule: ribosomal RNA, 253 nt
Filed under: uncultured bacterium
Lineage: Bacteria
Description: partial 16S ribosomal RNA
Rfam family: Bacterial small subunit ribosomal RNA
Source: RNAcentral